GAGUUUGAUCUUGGCUCAGGAUGAACGCUGGCGGCGUGCUUAACACAUGCAAGUCGAACGAGGAAUUUUAAAUGAGACUUCGGUGGAUUUUAAAAUUCUUAGUGGCGGACGGGUGAGUAACGCGUGGGCAACCUGCCCUGUACAGGGGGGACAACAGCUGGAAACGGCUGCUAAUACCGCAUAAGACCACGGAGCCGCAUGGCUCAGUGGGAAAAACUCCGGUGGUACAGGAUGGGCCCGCGUUGGAUUAGGUAGUUGGUGAGGUAACGGCCCACCAAGCCGACGAUCCAUAGCCGACCUGAGAGGGUGACCGGCCACGUUGGGACUGAGACACGGCCCAAACUCCUACGGGAGGCAGCAGUGGGGAAUCUUCCGCAAUGGGCGAAAGCCUGACGGAGCAACGCCGCGUGAGUGAAGAAUUAUUUCGGUAUGUAAAGCUCUAUCAGCAGGGAAGAAAAUGACGGUACCUGACUAAGAAGCCCCGGCUAACUACGUGCCAGCCGCCGCCGUAAU
RNAcentral lists this ribosomal RNA (513 nucleotides) under uncultured microorganism. Its description in RNAcentral is "bacterial SSU rRNA". It matches the Rfam family "Bacterial small subunit ribosomal RNA", at positions 9 to 524 of the family's 1533-position model. The record is from RNAcentral.